This 75-nucleotide transfer RNA is filed under the name Nanobdellota archaeon. RNAcentral describes it as "tRNA-Lys". It matches the Rfam family "tRNA". Rfam says of the family: Transfer RNA (tRNA) molecules are approximately 80 nucleotides in length. Lineage: Archaea; Nanobdellati; Nanobdellota. The record is from RNAcentral.
GGGCCGUUAGCUCAGCCUGGUUAGAGCGCCUCACUUUUAAUGAGGAGGUCGCGAGUUCAAAUCUCGUACGGCUCA